GAUGAACGCUGGCGGCGUGCCUAAUACAUGCAAGUCGAGCGAACAGACGAGGAGCUUGCUCCUCUGACGUUAGCGGCGGACGGGUGAGUAACACGUGGAUAACCUACCUAUAAGACUGGGAUAACUUCGGGAAACCGGAGCUAAUACCGGAUAAUAUAUUGAACCGCAUGGUUCAAUAGUGAAAGACGGUUUUGCUGUCACUUAUAGAUGGAUCCGCGCUGCAUUAGCUAGUUGGUAAGGUAACGGCUUACCAAGGCAACGAUGCGUAGCCGACCUGAGAGGGGGAUCGGCCACACUGGAACUGAGACACGGUCCAGACUCCUACGGGAGGCAGCAGUAGGGAAUCUUCCGCAAUGGGCGAAAGCCUGACGGAGCAACGCCGCGUGAGUGAUGAAGGUCUUCGGAUCGUAAAACUCUGUUAUUAGGGAAGAACAAAUGUGUAAGUAACUGUGCACGUCUUGACGGUACCUAAUCAGAAAGCCACGGCUAACUACGUG
RNAcentral lists this ribosomal RNA (497 nucleotides) under uncultured bacterium. Its description in RNAcentral is "partial 16S ribosomal RNA". It matches the Rfam family "Bacterial small subunit ribosomal RNA", at positions 28 to 507 of the family's 1533-position model. The record is from RNAcentral.